GCGGCGUGCCUAAUACAUGCAAGUCGAACGAACUCUGGUAUUGAUUGGUGCUUGCAUCAUGAUUUACAUUUGAGUGAGUGGCGAACUGGUGAGUAACACGUGGGAAACCUGCCCAGAAGCGGGGGAUAACACCUGGAAACAGAUGCUAAUACCGCAUAACAACUUGGACCGCAUGGUCCGAGUUUGAAAGAUGGCUUCGGCUAUCACUUUUGGAUGGUCCCGCGGCGUAUUAGCUAGAUGGUGAGGUAACGGCUCACCAUGGCAAUGAUACGUAGCCGACCUGAGAGGGUAAUCGGCCACAUUGGGACUGAGACACGGCCCAAACUCCUACGGGAGGCAGCAGUAGGGAAUCUUCCACAAUGGACGAAAGUCUGAUGGAGCAACGCCGCGUGAGUGAAGAAGGGUUUCGGCUCGUAAAACUCUGUUGUUAAAGAAGAACAUAUCUGAGAGUAACUGUUCAGGUAUUGACGGUAUUUAACCAGAAAGCCACGGCUAACUACGUGCCAGCAGCCGCGGUAAUACGUAGGUGGCAAGCGUUGUCCGGAUUUAUUGGGCGUAAAGCGAGCGCAGGCGGUUUUUUAAGUCUGAUGUGAAAGCCUUCGGCUCAACCGAAGAAGUGCAUCGGAAACUGGGAAACUUGAGUGCAGAAGAGGACAGUGGAACUCCAUGUGUAGCGGUGAAAUGCGUAGAUAUAUGGAAGAACACCAGUGGCGAAGGCGGCUGUCUGGUCUGUAACUGACGCUGAGGCUCGAAAGUAUGGGUAGCAAACAGGAUUAGAUACCCUGGUAGUCCAUACCGUAAACGAUGAAUGCUAAGUGUUGGAGGGUUUCCGCCCUUCAGUGCUGCAGCUAACGCAUUAAGCAUUCCGCCUGGGGAGUACGGCCGCAAGGCUGAAACUCAAAGGAAUUGACGGGGGCCCGCACAAGCGGUGGAGCAUGUGGUUUAAUUCGAAGCUACGCGAAGAACCUUACCAGGUCUUGACAUACUAUGCAAAUCUAAGAGAUUAGACGUUCCCUUCGGGGACAUGGAUACAGGUGGUGCAUGGUUGUCGUCAGCUCGUGUCGUGAGAUGUUGGGUUAAGUCCCGCAACGAGCGCAACCCUUAUUAUCAGUUGCCAGCAUUAAGUUGGGCACUCUGGUGAGACUGCCGGUGACAAACCGGAGGAAGGUGGGGAUGACGUCAAAUCAUCAUGCCCCUUAUGACCUGGGCUACACACGUGCUACAAUGGAUGGUACAACGAGUUGCGAACUCGCGAGAGUAAGCUAAUCUCUUAAAGCCAUUCUCAGUUCGGAUUGUAGGCUGCAACUCGCCUACAUGAAGUCGGAAUCGCUAGUAAUCGCGGAUCAGCAUGCCGCGGUGAAUACGUUCCCGGGCCUUGUACACACCGCCCGUCACACCAUGAGAGUUUGUAACACCCAAAGUCGGUGGGGUAACCUUUUAGGAACCAGCCGCCUAAGGUGGGACAGAUGAUUAGGGGUG
RNAcentral lists this ribosomal RNA (1479 nucleotides) under Lactiplantibacillus plantarum. Its description in RNAcentral is "bacterial SSU rRNA". It matches the Rfam family "Bacterial small subunit ribosomal RNA". Lineage: Bacteria; Bacillati; Bacillota; Bacilli; Lactobacillales; Lactobacillaceae. The record is from RNAcentral.